ACUCACUAUACACAGGAAAAAAAAAAAAAUCUAGUUGCCAAGCAGUUACAUAAGUAUGUACUGGAAGUAGCUGUGGUGAGAAUAUUAAGGAAGAGAUAGAAAACAAUAGUAACAAGUUUGACAAGAAAUGUACUCACUUCCUUACUCCUCUGUAUAUCACCUUGACAAUACAAUUAAAUUUAAAGGAAAGAAAAAAGAAAAAAAUAGCUAAAUAAAAAUUUAAAACCAUACUAUAGGAAGCAGAGGCUAGUAUUUCAGGUUAAAACAUACAUUUUUGACAGCUUUAUAAACUAGACAGGAAAUUAAACAUGACCUUCAUAUUUGGGCUAUUCC
Long non-coding RNA from Perognathus longimembris pacificus (Pacific pocket mouse), 333 nucleotides. RefSeq lists it as uncharacterized. The transcript is spliced from 4 exons. The record is from RefSeq and is a predicted model, not a curated record. Lineage: Eukaryota; Metazoa; Chordata; Mammalia; Rodentia; Heteromyidae.